UAGGGAUUGCAGCGGAAAACCCACAGCCUUGCGCAGGCCUUCGCGCAGAGGCUAAGGCGAGGAUUUGCAGCGUAAAGCCCGGCCGCAG
Molecule: unclassified non-coding RNA, 88 nt
Filed under: Mucilaginibacter gossypii
Lineage: Bacteria; Pseudomonadati; Bacteroidota; Sphingobacteriia; Sphingobacteriales; Sphingobacteriaceae
Description: Flavo-1 RNA
Source: RNAcentral